This 208-nucleotide ribosomal RNA is filed under the name uncultured bacterium. RNAcentral describes it as "partial 16S ribosomal RNA". It matches the Rfam family "Bacterial small subunit ribosomal RNA", at positions 568 to 775 of the family's 1533-position model. The record is from RNAcentral.
CGCGUAGGCGGCAAGGCAAGUCAGAUGUGAAAUCCCCGGGCCCAACCUGGGAAUUGCAUCUGAAACUGCAGUGCUUGAGUCCUGGAGGGGAUAGUGGAAUUCCCAGUGUAGCGGUGAAAUGCGUAGAUAUUGGGAGGAACACCUGCGGCGAAGGCGGCUAUCUGGACAGUGACUGACGCUGAUGCGCGAAAGCCAGGGGAGCGAACGG